GACGAACGCUGGCGGCGUGCUUAACACAUGCAAGUCGAACGGAAAGGCCCUGCUUUUGUGGGGUGCUCGAGUGGCGAACGGGUGAGUAACACGUGAGUAACCUGCCCUUGACUUUGGGAUAACUUCAGGAGACUGGGGCUAAUACCGGAUAGGAGCUCCUGCUGCAUGGUGGGGGUUGGAAAGUUUCGGCGGUUGGGGAUGGACUCGCGGCUUAUCAGCUUGUUGGUGGGGUAGUGGCUUACCAAGGCUUUGACGGGUAGCCGGCCUGAGAGGGUGACCGGCCACAUUGGGACUGAGAUACGGCCCAGACUCCUACGGGAGGCAGCAGUGGGGAAUAUUGCACAAUGGGCGGAAGCCUGAUGCAGCAACGCCGCGUGCGGGAUGACGGCCUUCGGGUUGUAAACCGCUUUCGCCUGUGACGAAGCGUGAGUGACGGUAAUGGGUAAAGAAGCACCGGCUAACUACGUGC
This 469-nucleotide ribosomal RNA is filed under the name uncultured bacterium. Its description in RNAcentral is "partial 16S ribosomal RNA". It matches the Rfam family "Bacterial small subunit ribosomal RNA", at positions 28 to 508 of the family's 1533-position model. The record is from RNAcentral.